RNAcentral lists this transfer RNA (57 nucleotides) under Bos taurus (domestic cattle). It matches the Rfam family "tRNA", at positions 8 to 63 of the family's 71-position model. Rfam says of the family: Transfer RNA (tRNA) molecules are approximately 80 nucleotides in length. Their secondary structure includes four short double-helical elements and three loops (D, anti-codon, and T loops). RNAcentral also lists the same sequence under 2 other names. The record is from Rfam by way of RNAcentral. Lineage: Eukaryota; Metazoa; Chordata; Mammalia; Artiodactyla; Bovidae.
UGGCUCAGAGGACAAAGCGUCUGCCUGCAAUGCAGGAGACCCGGGUUCGAUCCCUGG